AUGUAUAUGCCUACAACGUAACAUUAAUGCACCAGAUCCCAUUAGAACUCCAUAGUUAAACGCACUCAGGCUAGAGUAGUACUAGGAUGGGUGACCACCCAGGAAGUCCUAGUGUUUUACAUG
This is a non-coding RNA of Picea glauca (white spruce), 123 nucleotides long. The record is from Rfam. NCBI's taxonomy places the organism in Eukaryota, Viridiplantae, Streptophyta, Pinopsida, Pinales, Pinaceae.